AAGUAAAAACAUAAUUUUUGUUUUUGCUGUCAUUAUUUGGGAUUUCCAUAAUUUCUAAGUAUAUUAGGUACCCUUUCAUGUUUAUUGUAUUAUGCUGAUGGCAAUGUCAUAUUUCAUUAACAUCAAGUUGGUAAAAAUAAAAAGCAGAAAAAUUUUCUGCUAUUACUGUUGUUCUAGAUUUCUGUCCUAUAAAUAUUUACCUUUUGUGGCUAUGAGUUAUUUUCAGAAUAUGAAUGCUUUUGGAAGAUGUAUCUUGUUUUAAGUCAGAUUAGACUGCUAACCAAAAUUUGAACUGAUUCCUUUACUUUUGAUAAAUAUAUUGUGGUACUAAUACUACAAACAGUUGUUAUAUUUUGUACUUGUCACAUUUUCUAUUAAAUAUAUGUCAGUGAAGGCAUAGCUUUAAUGAGGGUUAGGGAGAGUCAAAUAUCUAUAGUCACCCUUUUGCAUUGAUAUUAACAGCCUUCAGUCUUGGAACUGCUACUGUGCUAGCUAUAUCCACAAUAACUGACAGGGAGUGUGGAUGUAGGGAAUAGGGAAAAAUCUAGAGAAGAUUUAUGCAUCAGAUAGAGGUUCAAGUAUCUAUUGAUUUAACAUGUAUUUCUUGAGUAUUUACUGUGUGCAAGGAAGGCAUGGUGCAAGCUGUUGUGGAAGAUAAAUAAUCUGGUUUCUAGCCUAAGAAAACUUACAAACUAGAUAAACUUCAAGGUCUUUUCCUACACAGAGGUUCUGUUAAUACUGUGAUUGUUUACUGAGCUUUAGUUGGUUUUUCCUAUGACCGGGUUCUCUGUAUACACAGGAUAUAAUUUGCUUUUGUUAGGUAAGGUCAUGCACUGCGUGAUGUUUCAGUCAAUGAUGGACCACAUAGAGGAUGGUGGUCCCAUAAGAUUAUAAUACCUUAGUAUUAAUGAACCUUUUCUAUGUUUAGAUAUAUUUAGAUACACAGAUACCAUUGCAUUACAAUUUCUUACAGUAUUAAGUACAGUUACAUGUUCUAUGGGUUUGCAGCCUACAGUAGGCCAUACCAUAUAUCCUAGGUUUGUAGUAGGCUGUACCCUCUAGGUUUGUGUAAGUACCCUCCAUGAUGGUCACACAAUGAUGAAACCACCUAAUGAUGCAUUUCUCAAUACAUAUCCCCAUCAUUAAGCAACUCAUGACUAUAAUUUAGAGAGUACCAAAAAUAAGCUUUUCCACAAAUAUCUUUACCAAUGAGCCAAAAAAGCCCUGUUAAUCAUUCCUUUGGAUGAAAGAAUUAUCUGUUGGUGACAUAUACACCAGUGGAACAGAACAGAGGCCUCAGAAAUAACACCACACAUCUACAAUCAUCUGAUCUUUGACAAACCUGACAAAAACAAGCAAUGGGGAAAGGAUUCCCUGCUUAAUAAAUGGUGCUGGGAAAACUGGCUAGCCAUAUGUAGAAAGCUGAAACUGGAUCCCUUCCUUACACCUUAUACAAAAAUUAACUCAAGAUGGAUUAAAGACUUAAAUGUAAGACCUAACACCAUAAAAACCCUAGAAGAAAACCUAGGCAAUACCAUUCAGGACAUAGACAUGGGCAAAGACUUCAUGACUAAAAUACCAAAAGCAAUGGCAACAAAAGCCAAAAUAGACAAAUGGGAUCUAAUUAAACUAAAGAGCUUCUGCACAGCAAAAUAAACUAUCAUCAGAGUGAAUAGACAACCUACAGAAUGGGAGAAAAUUUUUGCAAUCUACUCAUCUGUCAAAGGGCUAAUAUCCAGAAUCUACAAAGAACUUAAACAACUUUACAAGAAAAAAACAAACAACCCCAUCAAAAAGUGGGCAAAGGAUAUGAACAGACACUUCUCAAAAGAAGACAUUUAUGCAGCCAACAGACACAUGAAAAAAUGCUCAUGAUCACUGGUCAUCAGAGAAAUGCAAAUCAAAACCACAAUGAGAUACCAUCUCAUGCCAGUUAGAAUGGCGAUCAUUAAAAAGUCAGGAAACAACAGAUGCUGGAGAGGAUGUGGAGAAAUAGGAGUGUUUUACAUUGUUGGUGGGAGUGUAAGUUAGUUCAACCAUUGUGGAAGACAGUGUGGCGAUUCCUCAAGGAUCUAGAACUAGAAAUACCAUUUGACCCAGCCAUCCCAUUACUGGGUAUAUACCAAAAGGAUUAUAAAUCAUGCUACUGUAAAGACACAUGCACGUGUAUGUUUAUUGUGGCACUAUUCACAAUAGCAAAGACUUGGAACCAACCCAAAUGUCCAUCAAUGAUAGACUGGAUUAAGAAAAUGUGACACAUAUACACCAUGGAAUACUAUGCAGCCAUGAAAAAGAAUGAGUUCAUGUCCUUUGCAGGGACAUAGAUGAAGCUGGAGACCAUCAUUCUCAGCAAACUAUUGCAAGGACAGAAAACCAAACACUGCAUGUUCUCACUCAUAGGUGGAAGUUGAACAAUAAGAACACAUGGACACAGGGUGGGGAACAUCACAUGCCGGGGCCUGUCGGGGCAUAGCAUUAGGAGAAAUACCUAAUAUAAAUGACGAGUUAAUGGGUGCAGCAAACCAGCAUAGCACGUGUAUAACUAUGUAACAAACCUGCACAUUGUACACAUGUACCCUAGAACUUGAAGUAUAAUAAUAAAAAAGAAUUAUCUGUUGGCUGAUCUUUAAAUUGUUACCUAACAAAGGAUUCUACCAGAAUAUUGAAUUUCUUUAGCAGAAUAGUUAUUUGAGAUGAGGAAGCAGAAAUAGUAGAACAUGAAACAGAUAACAUUUUGAUGGCAGUAAUUGGGACUUAGAGUCAAAUCAACUGAACAGAGCACUGGCCUGAUGAAGGCAAGGCUUAGAGAGACAAAUUUAUGUGUGGGGUGGUUCCUGGGAAGCUAAGAAGUAUGAGGGCCUUAGAAAAGGGUGCUAAAAAUGAGGAGAGGAUGCCUUGAAAAAUUGAAGAGUGAAUGGCAUAGUUUAAUGAUACAAGUCUUCUCUGGGAUGAACUUGGCCAUAAAAACUGGAAGGGGUGAUGGGGAAAACCCCUGCAUUAUAUGAGUUUUUUCUAAUUCUGUGAAGAAUGUCAAUGGUAGUUUCAUGAGAAUAACAUUGAAUUUAUAAAUUACUUUGGGCAAUAUGGACAUUUUCACGAUAUUGAUAUAUUCUGGAGCACUUUGAGAGGCCAAGGUGGGUGGAUCACUUGAGGUCAUUAGUUCGAGACCAGCCUGGCCAAUGUGGUGAAACCGCAUCUUUACUAAAACUACAGAAAAUUAUCCAGGCAUGGUGGCAGGCGCCUGUAAUUCCAGCUGCUUGAGAGCCUGAGGCAGGAGAAUCUCUUGAACCUCUGAGGUGGAGUUUGCAGAGAGCUAAGAUUGUGCCACUACACUCCAGCCUGGGUGUUGCAGUGAGACUCCGUCCACCCCCUCCCCCCCAAAAAAAAGGGAUAUUCUGGAGAAGGAAAAGAAGAAACUUUAAUCAGAUGAAGCCCCAAAGCAUUCAGUACUCCUGAUGUAGGAGGUGAAAGAGAAUGGCUUUAUGAUUGUUUGUUUCAUUCUGUUGCCUUCAUAAUGAGUACUUGAUAGUGUGGAUGAUGUCAGUGUUCUUUUUGACAUAUAAAGGAAUAGCAGAUCUACUCUUAACAGUUUCUUAGUAGAGAACUUGUCUUUUACUGAGGCUACUGAUUAAUAGCAAAGGAAUUCUAGAUUGGGUGUAGUGGCUCACACCUGUAAUCCCAGUACUUUGGGAGGCUGAGGUGGGCGGGUCACUUCAGGUCAGGAGUUUGGGACCAGCCUGGCCAACAUGGUGAAACCCUGUCUCUACUAAAAAUAUAAAAAAUUAGCCAGGCGUGGUGGUGGGCGCCUGUAAUCCCAGCGACUUGGAAGGCUGAGGCAGGACAAUCUCUUGAACCCAGGAGGUAGAGGUUGCAAUGAGCUGAGAUUGAGUGCGCCACUGCACUCCAGCACCUGGGUGACAGAGCGAGACCAUGUCUCAAGAAAAAAAAAAAAGAAUUCUUUGAGGACAGUGUGUGAGUAAAAAAAUUAUGACAGUGGAAGCAAAAGAGGAGGAGGAAAAGAGAUGGCAAAAGUGGGUGGAUAUUAUUGGAGGAAACACGAGAGGAAGGAAGAUGAGAAAAAAGCAUGGGUGGAAUGGAAAAAGAUUGUCUUCAUUCUGUUGUGAAGGCCUCAACCAUCUGAGGGUUCACCUCUCUUUUGCUUCCAUCCCUCCUAGCUUCCUCUAGCUAGUAAAAAUCUUUUUUUUUUUUAAAUUAUACUUUUAAGUUCUAGGGUACAUGUGCACAGCGUGCAGGUUUGUUACAUAUGUAUACAUGUGCCAUGUUGGUUUGCUGCACCCAUCAACUCGUCAUUUAGGCAUUUCUCCUAAUGCUAACCCUCCCCCAACCCCCCACCCCACAACAGGCCCCCGUGUGUGAUGUUCCCCUUCCUGUGUCCAAGUGUUCUCAUUGUUCAGUUCCCACCUAUGAGUGAGAACAUGCAGUGUUUGGUUUUCUAUUCUUGUGAUAGUUUGCUGGGAAUGAUGGUUUCCAGCUUCAUCCAUGUCCCUGCAAAGGACGUGAACUCAUCCUUUUUAUGGCUGCAUAGCAUUCCAUGGUGUAUAUGUGUCACAUUUUCUUAAUCCAGUCUAUCAUUGAUGGACAUUUGGGUUGGUUCCAAGUCUUUGCUAUUGUGAAUAGUGCCACAAUAAACAUACACGUGCAGGUGUCUUUAUAGUAGCAUGAUUUAUAAUCCUUUUGGUAUAUACCCAGUAAUGGGAUGGCUGGGUCAAAUGGUAUUUCUAGUUCUAGAUCCUUGAGGAAUCGCCACACUGUCUUCCACAAUGAUUGAACUAAUUUACACUCCCACCAACAAUGUAAAACACUCCUAUUUCUCCACAUCCUCUCCAGCAUCUGUUGUUUCCUGACUUUUUAAUGAUCACCAUUCUAACUGGCGUGAGAUGGUAUCUCAUUGUGGUUUUGAUUUGCAUUUCUCUGAUGACCAGUGAUCAUGAGCAUUUUUUCAUGUGUCUGUUGGCUGCAUAAAUGUCUUCUUUUGAGAAGUAUCUGUUCAUAUCCUUUGCCUACUUUUUAAUGGGGUUGUUUGUUUUUUUCUUGUAAAGUUGUUUAAGUUCUUUGUAGAUUCUGGAUAUUAGCCCUUUGACAGAUGAGUAGAUUGCAAAAAUUUUCUCCCAUUCUGUAGGUUGCAUGUUCACUCUGAUGAUAAUUUCUUUUGCUGUACAGAAACUCUUUAGUUUAAUUAGAUCCCAUUUUUCUAUUUUGGCCUUUGCAGCAAAGCUGCAAGGUGUCAGGAGAAUUCUUAGGCAGGUAUGCAGUUGCAUUUAUUAAUAUAAAUACCACAGUAGGAAUGGGAGAUGGUUGUUCAGAAACAGCUUGCACUAGAUGACACUACUGAAGGUCUGUUUUACCUUUGGAAGAGUACUGCAGAACCAUGAUGGAAUAGCUGACUGUUUUCCUAGCAAUUUCUCAUUAAUUUGUUCUUUCAAAGGCCAACAUCAGUGAUGUUGAGUGGAAGUAAAUGGUGGCCAAUUCAGUAAAUAUUGUUUUGUGGACUUAUGUAUCAGAUGCUGCUAGAUGUUUUUGCAAAUGUUAGGCUGCAUGAAUAUUUGUUUCCAUUUUCAGGAGAAAAAAACCUGAAGCUCAGAGGCCCUGUUGGGCCAUCGCUACUUCAAGUACUUGAUUAGUUAUCUGAAUAUUCAUGCUAAAAUAGGUUCUUUGCCUAAAUUCUUAGGUAAUUGCAACAUUGUAGAUAUGGUUCUUAAUCAUGUUUAAUCAUGUGCCAUUAAUCACAUGAUUUUAAAAUACUUCAACUCUUAAUCAAAUUUAAUCAUGUGCUGUUAAAUUUCUAAGACUAUGUUAGAACGGUGAUUGAAAACAUCUAUUUUAAAACACAUUUUCUAAUUUUCUAGUAAAUAAAGGGCUUUGUGGUUUUAUUAGUCCAUUUUUAUGCUGCUGAUAAAGACAUGCCCAAGACUGGGCAAUUUAGAAAAGAAAGACAUUUAAUGGACUCACAGUUAAUCAUGGCCGAAGGUAAAAGGCACAUCUCACAUGGCAGCAGACAAGAAAAGAUAGCUUGUGCAGUGAAACUCCCCUUUUUAAAACCAUCAGAUCUCUUGAGACUUAUUCACUAUCAUGAGAACAGCAUGGAAAGACCUGCCCCCAUAAUUCAAUCACCCCCUACCAGGUUCCUCCCAUGACAUGUCGAAAUUGUGGGAGUUACAAUUCAAGAUGAGAUUUGGGUGGGGAAACAGCCAAACCAUAUCAUUCCACCCCUGGCCCGUCUGAAAUCUCAUGUCUUCACUUUUCAAAACCAAUCAUGCCUUCCCAACAGUCUCCCAAAGUCUUAACUCAUUUCAGUACUAACUCAAAAGUCCACCGUUCAAAGUCUCAUCUGAGACAAGGCAAGUCCCUUCUGCCUAUGUGCUUAUAAAAUCAAAAGCAAGUUAGUUACUUCCUAGAUCCAGUGGGGGUACCAGCAUUGGGAAAAUAUACCCAUUCCAAAUGGGAAAAACUGGCUGAAACAAAGGGGAUAAAGACCACAUGCAAGUCUGAAAUCCAGCAGGGCAGUCAAAUCUUAAAGCUAUAAAAUGAUCUGCUUUGACUUCAUGUCUUGCAUUCAGGUCAUGCUGAUGCAAGAGGUGGGUUCCCAUGGUCUUGGGCAGUUGCUCCCCUGUGGCUUUGCAGGGUACAGGCCCCCUCCUGGCUGCUUUCAUGGGCUGGCAUUCAGUGUCUGUAGCUUUUCCAGGCACAUGGUGCAAGCUGUCAGUGGAUCUACCACUCUGGGGCCUGGAAGAUGAUGGCCUCUUCUCACAGCUCCACUAGGCAGUGCCCCAGUGGGGACUCUCUGUGGGGGCUUCAACCCCACAUUUCCCUUCCACACUGCCCUAGCAGAGGUUCUCCAUGAGGGCCCCACCUCACAGCAAACUUCUGCCUGGACAUCCAGGCGUUUCCCCACAUCCUUUGAAAUCUAGGUGAAGGUUUCCAAACCUCAGUUCUUUACUUCUGUGUACCCACAGGUUCAACAUCUUGUGGAAGUUGCCAAGGCUUGGGGCUUUCACCCUCUGAAGCCAUGGCCUGAGCUAUACCUUGACCCCUUUUAACCAUGGCUAGAGUGGCUGGAACACAGGGCACCAAUUCCCUAGGUGGCAUAAAGCAGGGGGGCCCUGUGCAUGGCCCAUGAAACCAUUUUUUCCUCCUAAGUCUCUGGGCCUGUGAUGGGUGGGGCUACCACAAAGGUCUCUGACUUGGCCUGGAGACAUUUUCCCCAUUGUCUUGGCAAGUAACAUUUGGCUCCUCAUUAUUUAUGCACAUUUCUGCAGAUCCUCAGAAAAUGGGGUUUUCUUUUCUAUCGCAUCAUCAGGUUGCAAAUUUUCUGAACUUAUGUGCUCUGUUUCCCUUUUAAAACUGAAUGCUUUUAACAGCACCGAAGUCACCUUUUGAAUGUUUUGCUGCUUAGAAAUUUCUUCUGCCAGAUACCCUAAAUCAUCCACCUCAAGUUCAAAGUUCUACAAAUCUCUGGGGCAGGGGCGAAAUGCCACCAGUCUCUUUGCUAAAAUAUAGCAAGGGCCACCUUUACUCCAGUUCCCAACAAGUUCCUCAUCUCCAUCUGAGACCACGCCUGGAUUUCAUUGUCCCUAUCAUUAUCAGCAUUUUUGUCAGAGCCAUUCAACAAAUCUCUAGGAAGUUUCAAACUUUUCCACAUUUUUUUGUCUUCUCUUGAACCCUCCAAGCUGUCCCAACUUCUGCCUGUUACCCAGUUCCAAAGUUGCCUUCCCAGUUUUGGGUAUCUUUACAGCAGCACCCCACUCUACUGGUAGCAAUUUCUGUAUUAUUCUAUUUUCAUGCUGAUAAUAAAGACAUACUAAAGACUGCAUAAUUUAUAAAGAAAAACAGGUUUAAUGGACUCACAGUUCCACAUGGCUGUGGAGACCUCACAAUCAUGGUGGAAGGUAAAAGGCACAUCUCACAUGGUGGUGGACAAGAGAAGAGAGCUUGUGCAGGGAAACUCCCUAUUUUAAAAACCAUCAGAUCUUGUGAGACUUAUUCACUAUCACAAGAACAGCUUGGGAAAGACCUGCCCCCAUAACUCAAUCACCUCCCACCAGAUUGGUCCCAUGACACGUGGGAAUUGUGGGAGUUACAAUUCAAGAUGAGAUGUGGGUGGGGACACAGCCAAACCAUAUCACUGGUCAUUUUAGAAAAAUUAGAAAAUACAAUUUUUCACAUAUACACAUACAUACAUAUUUUGUGCUAAUUUCUUUGCUUUCUCUGUUAAUGCCUCAGACCAACAAUUUCCCCAAUGCAAACCAGUGGAUUUUGGUAGUAUUGUUUUUGAACUUGUUUAAAUAGUUGCAGAAUGAGGAAGUUUUACUCAUUUUGGCCAGUGUUGCGAAUUAUCUAGACUUGUCAUAGAUAAUUUAUUACCUACAAAUGAGCUUGGGAAACUGAAAAACUGUGUUUAAUAACUCAGCUUGUCUAGUAAAAUUAUUAUAGAUGUCAUCAGAAGAGCCUACUUCUAUAGUCCAUUGAGUAGUAGUUAUUCAAAGUGUUGUGCUUUGGUGGUCCAUCUGUAGGGCAUAUUUAAAAAUCCAUUAUUUAUUUGGCAUAAUUAAUCUAAAAAAUAAAUAAAAUAAAAUGCUUCCAUGUUCCUUUGAAAACCUCUUUGCUUUGAAGGUGAUACAGCAGUCUGUAGAACUACAUCUCACUCUACAACAUCAGAUGUUCAAGGAUUAUACUUUUUCUUAUUUUUUUUGUAACUCAGUUUCUAUUUUGAGCCCCUGUUCUGCCCAGGUGACUGAAUUUUUUUUAAAUUUCCCAGUUUUAUUUUAAGUUCAGGGAAAUAUGUGCAAAAUAUGUAGGUUUGUUACAUAGGUAAACAUGUGCCAUGGUGGUUUGCUGCAAAGAUCAUCCCAUCAUCUCAGUAUUAAGCUCAGCAUCUGUUAGCUGUUCUUCCUGAUGAUCUCCCUCCUGCCAUAUCCCACCCUCUGACAAUCCCCAGUGUGUGUUGUUCCCAUCAAUGUGUCCAUGUGUUCAUCAUUUAGCUCCCACUUAUAAGUGAGAACAUGUGGUAUUUGGAUUUGUGUUCCUCUGUUUGUGGAGGAUUAUGGCAUCCACCUCCAUCUAUGUCUUGCAAAGGACAUGAUCUCGUUCCUUUUUAUGGCUGCAUAGUAUUCCAUGGUGUAUAUGUACCACAUUUUGUUUAUCCAGUCUAUCAUUGAUGGGCAUUUGAGUUGAUUCCAUGUCUUUCUAUUGUGAAAAGUGCUGCAGUGAACAUAUGCAUGCAUGUAUCUCUAUAACAGAGUGCUUUAUAUUCCUUUGGGUAUAUACCCAGUAAUGGGACUACUGGGUUGAAUGGUAGUUCUGCCUCUAGGUCUUUGAGGAAUUGCCACACUGUCUUCCACAGUGGUCAAACUAAUUUACACUCCCACCAACAGUGUAAAAGUGUUCCUUUUUCUCCACAACCUCACCAGCAUCUGUUGUUUUUUGACUUUUUAAUAAUAGUCAUUCUGACUGGUGUGAGAUGGUAUCUCACUGUGGUUUUGAUUUUCAUUUCUCUAAUGAUCAGUGAAGUUGAACUUUUUUUUUUCAUGUGUUUGUUGGCUGCAUGUAUGUCUUCUGAUAAGUGUCUGUUCAUGUCCUUUGGGUGGCUGAAAUUUUAAUGUCAGAGGCCUCACUUUCCUGUUGCUCUGAUAAUUCUUGGGUGAGGGUAGUGGGUUGUACUAGUUGUCUUCAUCUUUUCAUGGUGGUGAGUGGUGGCAUCUGUAGAAAUGUUUGUCCUUCAUUUUAUUUCUGUAGUAGUUGAUCAUCACAGGUUGCUGCUGACUCAUCAUUCUCAUUGACAAGUUUUUAUCUGGUAAAGCAACUCUUUCUGUAACUUCCAUGCUAUUAAUUGCAUUAUAUUCUUUCUGAGGUCCCCAGACUACUAUAAAAUGUGGAGAACUCCCUAAGACUGCCAUUUGUUUAAGCCUUCCUGGUGCUGUGUGGGGUCUGAGAACCUCUAUAAGGCUAAUACUUUGCCCCACAUAUUAUCCAUCCAUUUCUUCUGUGGUAUCUUUCUGCCUUCCUGAGUCUAUACCUUAGAAAUGGGACACAGAUUGCUCUGUUCUCUUGCAAGAAUAAUGUCUAUAUCCGUUGUUUCUUUGCAUCUUCUUAUCCUCAUUCCAGGGAGUUUUCAUCAAGUCUGGAGGGUGAGAAAUUUUUUUUUUUAAAGAUGUUUGCCAAAAUCUGUCUUCCAUGCCACGUAUUGCAAAUCGAUGGAUCAAAUUUGACCCACAGAAGUGAUUUUGUUUGGACAAUAUUUUAAAAUUUUGGAAAAUUCACAUAAAAAUUUGAAUUUUCAGGAUACUUUUUGGGUAAAAAACAAUCUUGCAGCAUUUUCAUAUGGUAAAAUCAGCUGGAGCUUCAUAGUGGCUCCUUGUAGGGUUUCCUCACUCCAGUUCCCACAUUCCUUUUUCACCUGCCUGGCUGUUAUAAGUGUAGUUCUGAGUCCUUUCCACUCAGAAAAUAGGCCCAGGAUUUUGAAAUUCAUGGGUCAAGAAAAAGACUCCUUACUUCUGCUUUCUACUGUCACUUCUUUUCUGAGACAGUACGAGCCUUUCUGCUGGUUGCAUGGAUGACGAAUCUAAGGACAAUUAGGGGGAAAAGAUUGGCUAGUAUUUAAAAAAUGUUAAACUAUUACAAGGUAUUAUCAAGAUUUUAUUUUACUAAUUUAAAAAUGUUUUGUCAAGUCAACUUCUAAAACUCAGCUUUACUGAGGUAUAAAUUACAUAAAAUAAAGUUCACCAAUUUUAAAUAAACAAUUCAAACUAUUUUAUUAGUGAUUGUAUAUGCCACAUUUCUACCAGUGAUGUAUGAAAGUUCAGUUGCCCCAAAGUCUUAUCAUUUGGUAUUAAUAUUUUAAUUGUAGUCUCUUUAGUGGGUGUAUUAUGACUAGUUAUAUCUCAUUGUAGUUUUAAUUGGCAUUUUUCUAAUGAAUAAUGAGAUUGAGCAUGUUUUCAUGCACGUAUUUUCUUGUAUAUCUCUUUUUUGGAGAAAUAUCUGUUUAAAGCUUGUCUAUUUUAAAAAAUUGAGUUAUUGUCUUAUUUUUGAGUUGUAAGGACUCAUAUAUUAUGGAUACAAGUCCAAAGUCGUUUAUCAGAUACAUCUUUUGUAAAUAUUUUCUCCUGCUCUGUGGUGUGCCUUUUUGUUUUCUUUUUUUUUCUUUUUCGAGAUGAAGUCUCACUCUGUCACUCAGGCUGGAGUACGAUGGCAUGAUCUCGGCUCACUGCAACCUUUGCCUCCUGCGUUCAAGCAAUUCUCUUGUCUCAGCCUCCCGAGUAGCCGGGAUUACAGGUAUGCGCCACCAUACCCAGCUAAUUUUUUUGUAUUUUUAGUAGAGACGGGGUUUCACCAUGUUGGCCAGGCUGGUCUCGAACUCCUGACCUCAAGUGAUCCACUCUCCUCGGCCUCCCAAAGUACGGGGAUUACAGGCACGAGCCACUGCACCCGGCUGUGCUUUUGUUUUCUUAACGGUUUUUUGAAAAACAAAAGUUUUUACUUUAGUGAAAGGCAGUUUUCUUAUUUUUGGUUUUUUGUUUUAUGGCUUUUGUGUCUUACUAGAAUUUAACUCUAGGUCACAAAUAUUUUCUCAUAUAUAUUCUUCUGGGAGUUUUAUACUUUCUACUCUUAUAUUUAAAUCUGUAAUACAUUUUGAGUGAAUUUUUUAUAAUUUCAUUAUAUGCUUAUCUUACACUAUAAAAUGUGGAUGUCUAGUUCUUCUUGUUCUCUUUGUUAAAGACACCACUUUUUCCCUACUAAAUUAAUUGUGCAUUUGUACAUUUGUUGAAAAUCAGUUGAUCAUAAGUGUAUUUUCAAUUCUAUUCUGUACCAUUAACUUAGGUAUUUCUUUAAGUUAGUAUCACACCAUAUUGGUUAUGAUAGUUUAAGUACUGAAAUCAGAUAGCUUAAGUCCUCCAAUUUUUUUCUCAAAAUUUAUUUUGAAAUUUGAAAAUUCCUUUAAAAAUUAAAAAUGUAGCCAGUGCGGGUCCUCCGUAUGCUGAGCGCCGGUCCCCUGGGCCCACUUUUCUUUCUGUAUACUUUGUUUCUGUGUCUCUUUCUUUUCUCAUGUCUCUCAUUCCACCUGAUAAGAAACGCCCACAGGUGUGGAGGGGCUGGCCACCCCUUCAUCUGGUGCCCAACAUGGUGCUUUUCUCUAGGGCGAAGUUACGCUCGAGCGUUGUCACUGAGGACAAGUUAAUGAGAGAUUCCCGAGUAUGUCUACAGUCAGCCUUGUGACAUUUGAAGUUCUACAAUGAACCCAUCAGAGAUGCAAAGAAAAGCGCCUCCAUGGAGAUGGAGACACCACAGUCAAGCACCAUUGAGUCACAAGAUGAACAGAAUGGUGAUGUCAGAACAGAUGAAGUUGCCAUCCACCAAGAAGGCAGAGCCACUGACUUGGGCACAAUUAAAGAAGCUGACAGAGUUAGCUAAAAAAAAAAAGCCUAGAGAACACAAAGGUGACACAAACUCCAGAGAACAUGCUGUUUGCAGCGUUGAUGAUUGUAUCAAUGGUGUCUGCAGGUGUACCCAGCAGCUCCAAAGAGACAGCGACCAUCGAGGAUGAGCCAUGAUGACAAUGGUGGUUUUGUCAAAAAGAAAAGGGGGAAAUGUGGGGAAAAGAAAGAGAGAUCAGACUGUUACUGUGUCUAUGUAGAAAGAAGUAGACGUAAGAGACUCCAUUUUGUUCUGUACUAAGAAAAAUUCUUUUUUUUUUUUUUUUUUUUUUUUUUUUUUUUGAGACGGAGUCUUGCUCUGUCACCCAGGCUAGAGUGCAGUGGCGCAAUCUCGGCUCACUGCAAACUCCGCCUCCCGGGUUCAUGCCAUUUGCCUGCCUCAGCCUCUCCGAGUAGCUGGGACUACAGGCGCCCGCCACCACGCCCGGCUAAUUUUUUGUAUUUUUAGUAGAGACGGGGUUUCACCGUGGUCUCGAUCUCCUGACCUCGUGAUCCGCCCGCCUCGGCCUCCCAAAGUGCUGGGAUUACAAGCGUGAGCCACCGCGCCCGGCCAGAAAAAUUCUUUUGCCUUGAGAUGCUGUUAAUCUGUAAUCCUACCCCUAACCCUGUGCUCGCAGAAACAAGUGCUGUGACGACUCAAGGUUUAGUGGAUUUAGGGCUAUGCAGGAUGUGCUUUGUUAAACAAAUGCUUGUAGGCAGCAUGCUUGUUAAAAGUCAUCACCACUCCCUAAUCUCAAGUACCCAGGGACACAAAACACUGUGGAAGGCUGCAGGGACCUCUGCCUAGGAAAGCCAGGUAUUGUCCAAGGUUUCUCCCCAUGUGAUAGUCUGAAAUACGGCCUUGUGGGAAGGGAAAGACCUGACCGUCCCCCAGCCCGACACCCAUAAAGGGUCUGUGCUGAGGAGGAUUAGUGAAAGAGGAAGGCCUCUUUGCAGUUGAGAUAAGAGGAAGGCAUCUGUCUCCGGCUCGUCCCUGGGCAAUGGAAUGUCUCAGUGUAAAACCCGAUUGUAUAUUCCAUCUACUGAGAUAGGAGAAAACCGUCUUAGGGCUGGAGGUGAGACAUGCAGGCAGCAAUACUGCUCUUUAAGGCAUUGAGAUGUUUAUGUAUGUGUACAUCAAAAGCACAGCACCUUUUACUUUACCUUGUUUAUGAUGUAGAGACAUUUGUUCACAUGUUUUCCUGCUGACCUUCUCCCCACUAUUACCCUAUUGUCCUGCCGCAUCCCCCUCUCCGAGAUGGUAGAGAUAAUAAUGAAUAAAUACUGAGAGAACUCAGAGACCGGUGCUGGCGCGGGUCCUCUGUAUGCUGAGCGCCGUUUCCCUGGGCCCACUUUUCUUUCUCUAUUUAAAAAAAAAAAAAAAAAUUAAAAAUGUAAAAAAUUAUUUGAGUUGUACUAGUUAUUUUGUAUUUUCAUAUAAAUUUUAGAAUAAGCAUGCCAGUGUCUACAAAAAGGCUUACUAGGAUUUUUACUGGAAUGGUAUCAAAUCUAUAGAUUAACCUGAGGAUAAUUAACAUCUUUAAAAAGUAUUGGAUCUUCUGAUCCAUAAACAUAGUACGUCUCUUCAUGUAUGUAGAAUGUCUUUAAUGUUUGUCAGCAAUGUUUUAUAGUUUUCAUUGUACAGAUCUUGCACAUAGUUUGUUAAAUUUAUUCCCAAUUAUUUCCAGUUUUUUUGUUGCUAUUAUAAAUUGCAUUGAUUUUUGAAUUAUAAUUUCCAAUUAUUUGUUCUUAGAACAUAGCAAUACAAUUGAUUUUUGUACACUGACUUUGAUAUGACCUUGCCAAACUUAUUUAUUAGUUUGGUAGGUUGUUGUUGUUUUCUGUUUUACUUUUUUGUAGAUUCGUUACAUUGAAAUAAUUAUAAAUAAUCAUGCCAGCUAUCAAAAAGACAGUUUUAUUAUUUCCUUUCCAAUCUAUGUGCCUGUUAUUAUUUUUUUCUCUAGGAUUUCCAGUACAAUGUUGAAUAGAAGUGGCUAGAGGAUAUGUCCUUGCUUUGUUCCUAGUCUUAGGGCAAUAGCAUUCAGUCUUUCUUCCAUAUGUAGGACAUCAGUUCCUCAAUAUUAGUUUGAGGAAGUUCCUUUAUAUUCCUAGUUUGUUGAGGGUUUAUUAUGAAUAGGUGUUGGAUUUUGUCAAAUGCUUUCUCUGCAUCUUUUCAGGUGUGUGUGUGUGUGUGUGUGUGUAGUUAACAUGGUAAAUUUUACAUUGAUUUUUUUUCAAAAGUUAAAACUACAUUUCCGGAAAAAAUGCUUUUUCUGUGUCUUUUGAGAUGAUCCUUUGUGUUUGUAUAUGUGCGUGUUACUUAAUAUAAUCCCUAGUAAUAUUCUUUGAUCUGAAGUCUACCUCAUCUGAUAUUAAUACAUAUUCUCCAACUUUCUUCUAAUUUGUGUUUAUAUGGUAUAUCUAUUUGCACUUUUUACUUUUAACCUAUUUGUGUCUUUAUGUUUAAAGUAAGUUUCUCUAUUUCUUUUUGUUUUUCCUUCAUUUUAAAUCCAAUCUGGCAGUCUCUAAUAUUGUUAUUGAUAUGGUUGAGUUUAAAUUUAUUAUCUUGCUUUUUUUUUCCUAUUUGUCCCAUCUUGUCUUCUGUUGACUUAUUAACCAUAUACCUCUUUGUUUUAAUUUACUAGUGAUUGCUCUGCAGUUUAAAACACACAUCUUUAACUUAUCACAAUCUAUCUUUACAUAAUAUCGUACAACUUUACAUAUGGGGAAGAACCUUACAAUGUUGUUAGUGUCGUACAUUUUACUUCUUCAUAUUUUGUGAAUCUGUAAAAGAAAAAGAUAAGCUUUUUUUCCUCCUCUCACAUAUUUAACAGAAUACUGAAUACUUCACUUGAGGUCAUCAAACCGUGUGUGGGGAUUGUCACAGGUUAAGGGGCAGAGCCACAAGACCUCACUUCACUUCAGAUGCCAGCCACAAGUCCGGGUUGUGACUUGCACUUUUGACUAACCAGCUGUAAAUCAGUGGUUGUCAUGACCCCAUCCUUGGGUUCAUUAAUUUGUUGGAGUGCCUUACAAAACUCAGGGAAACACUCUACUUCAGUAAAUGGGUACAUUUAUUAUAGAGGAUAUUACAAAGGAUAUAGAUAAACAGCCAGUUGGAAGAGAUGUGUAGGACAAGGUGUGUGGGAAGAGGCAUAGAGCUUCCGUGGCCUCUCAGGGUGCACCACCCUCCAGGCACUUCUGUGUUCAGCAGUGCAGAAGCUUUCUGAACCCUGUAGUUCAGGGAUUGUUAUGGAGGUUUCAUCAUGUAGGCAUGAUUGAUUAAGUCAUCGGCCAUUGGUGAUCAACUCAACUUUUAACCCCUUUCCCCAUCCCCGGAGAUCUGAGGGUAGGGCUAAAAUUUCCAACCUUCUACUCACAUGGUUGGCUCCCCCUGGCAACCAGUCCCCAUUCUGAGGCUAUUCAGGAGCCCACCAAGAGUUACCUCGUUAGAGCAAAAGAUACUACUAUCACUUAGGAAAUUACAAAGGUUUUAGGAGGUCUGUGGCAGAAACUGGGGUAAAAGACCAAGUAUUAGAACAAAAGAUUUUUCUAGUACUCCUAGCUACAAAGGUUUUAGGAGUUCUGUCUCAGGAACUGAGGGCAGAGACUAAAUAUAUUUCUUUAUAUCACAAAAGCUUACUAAAUGUAUUUUUAUUAAAUCACAAAAACUUACAGUACGUUGUAAUUGUUUCUGCCUUGGGUAAUCUCCUUCAUCUUUUUCUUUUAUUUUAUCUUCUUUUUAUGAGACAGGGUUUCCCUCUGUUGCCAGGCUGGAGUGGAGUGGAGUGCGGUGGUGCAAUCAUGUCUCAUUACAGCCUCCAUCUCCUGGGUUCAAGGGAUCCUCCUGCCUCAGGCUCCUGAGUAGCUGGGACUACAGUCACAUGCCACAAUGCCUAGCUAAUUUUUUAAAUACUGAUUUUCAGUAGGGAUGAGGUCUUGCCAUAUUGCCCAGGCUUGUCUCAAACUCCUGGGCUCAAGCAAUCCUGCCUUGACCUCUCAAAGUGCUGAGAUUAUAGGCAUGAGCCACUGCACCCAGUUCCUUUAUCUUUUAAAAAGAUUAAAAUAUGAGGAAAACAUUUAUUAUUUUUACAUAUUUACCAUUUCUGGUACUUUUUUCUUUUUUGUGUAGAGUUAUAUUUCUUUCUGGUUUAAUUUUUAUCCUUGCUGAUGAACUUUAACAUUUCUUGUAGUGCCAGUCUGAUGGCAUCAAUUUUUCUCAGUAUUUGUCUGUCUGGAAAAGGUCUGUAUUUUGCCCUCAUUUUUUAAAAGAUAUAUUUUUUGUUGUAUAGAACGUGUGUUUUUUGGUUUAUUUUUUGUUUCAGUACUUUAAAGAUGUCACUCCAUUGUCUUUUGACUUACCUAGUUUUUGAUGAGAAGUUUUCUAUCAUUCUUGGUUUUAUUCUUCUGCACAAAAUGUGUCUUUUUUUUCCUGCUCUCUGGCUGCUUUUAAGAUAUUCUCUUUAUUUCUCAUUUCCAGAAGUUUGAUUAUGUUGUGGUUUGGUAUGAUGUUAUGAUAUUAUUAUUAUGUUAUGAUGUUAUCAUGUGUGGAUUUUUUUUGGGUUUAUUCUGCUCAGAAUUUCUUGAGCUGAUUUGCAUGUGUUAUUUAUUUAUUUUUACAGAAUUUAGAAAAUCCAUGGUGAUUUUUUUCAAAUAUUUUUUUCUUUGUCCUUUUCUUUCUAGGACUGCAGUUACGUAUAUAUUAGUCUGCAUGAUAUGGUCGUACAGAUACACUGCCUCUAGGACUGGGACAGAUAGCCACUGAGUACCUGCUUCAAAUCACCCUGCACGUUUUCUUGUUGGAAAGAUAACCACUGGAGAACCAUCUCGUUACCUUCAGCAAAAAUGGAAACAAAUCAAGACAUUAAGAAUGCCACAGUGGACAGCAGUUAGGCAAGGUUCAGCAGAGGAAGUUUUCAAGAUGGUGUGCCUCGCUAGCCAGAAAUCAGAAAAGAUCAAAGCUAGCCUUUUCAUCUCAGCUGCUCCUUAAAUCAGUGCAACCCCUCCAAAUUAAUGUGAAUUGAAACAUGCAUUGCUUUUCAACUUAAUUGAGUAUUUACUAUAUAUGAAUCACUGCACAAAAUAGGGGAAGAAAAUGUGGGAGACAAAGAUGUGGAGCCUGCCUUCAAUAAAUUUACAGUUAGUUUCAGGGUACAUUGUUUUUCUUCUGCUGUUAAUUAGGUGUAUCCCCAAGACAAUAAAUAAAUGAAUGGAAAAGUAUAUUCUGUGUUUUAAGUCUCUUUAAUAAAAAACAAAACAAAAUCCAAAAAAAUUCCUAACAUGGCAACUCAGGACAUUUUAAUCCUUUUUUUUGUUGUUGGACUUCUGAUAGGAUCCAUUUUAUUGAUUCUGUAAAUAUUUAGUAGACUUUAGAUAUAUUAAUACAUUGUAGCUUGAGUUAAUUUGCAUUAAAUUCUUUUUUUUCCCCUUAGGUAUAGAUUGUCUGUUGGAAAAAUAUAUUGUUUGUGGAUUUCUUGGGGAGUGGGAAGGUGAAUUAUACCUGUUGUCUCUAUAGUCCACUACCUUCCACGCCCUAGGGCAGCGGUCCCCAACCUUCUUGGCACCAGGGACCAGUUUCCUGGAAGACAAUUUUUCCGUAGAUGGUGUGGGGAUGGUUUUGGGAUGAAACUGUUUCACCUCAGAUCAUCAGGCAUUAGUUAGGCUCUCAUAAGGGGUGCGCAGCCUAGAUCCCUCACAUGCGCAGUUCACAGUAGGGUUUGCGCUGCUAUGAGAAUCUAAGGCUGCCACUGAUCUGACAGGAGGCAGAGCUCAGGUGGCAAUGCUUACUGGCCCACUGCUCACCUCUUGCUGUGUGGCCUGGUUCCUAAUAGGCCAUGGACCCCCACAGACUGGUACUAGUCCGCAGCUUGUGGACCCCAGCCCUAGGGGCCUGCCAUUCUGAGUGAGUUAUUAGCAUGAAGAAGAGGAAGAUCUGGAUCAAACGUGGGUGGUGGCACUCAGAGACCCAAGAUAGGAUAGGGAUGGAACAAAACCCAUCUGGGCAACGGCUGUAUGAAAAUUUGGCUAAGUAAUUAUUUCAGUAUUCAUUGUAUUCAUUGUCCUUUGUGUUCCAUAAGUUAAAUGACUGUCUAAUUUUUCCAAAAAUUUAUUUCUGACUUGAGAAUAAGUGUGUCAUGAUUUUCCCAGUGUGAAGACACUGAUAUAACUGUAGAUACCAGACAUUUUAGGUAGUGUCUGUGACAUUUUAGUAUGUAUGAGCCAACAAUAGACAUGUCUUUGUCUUGAGGAGUGUCCAUCUGAAUUGAAAAUGUGUCAGCUUUUUUUUAACAUCAUCAACAGACUUCUUAAUUAAGCUGCCAAUACAUACUGCCAAUAGUACUGUGUGCUGUCUGAGAAAUGCAUUGUGUAAGUGCUAUUUCCAUCUUAUUAAAUAAACAAUGUGGCUCCAUAUAAACUGGAUUUAAAGUGUUCUUUGAAUGAGGCAUUAUAUUGCUCCAUAAAUAAUGUGAUGUGAAUUCUCAUAUGAUCCCUUUUAACUUAAUUUCUAAAAAAAUAUUAUUUGCUACUCAGUAAGGAAUAGCUCUAAUUGGACUGGUAAGUUUAGUGAUAUGAUUUGUCUGUAACAGGCUGAAUCGCCCCACUCCCAAACUCCUGGUCAUGGUACUGGAUAUUUGUUAUGCCACUUUUAGUUUGCAUGAAGUAUCUUCCAGGAAGUCUUAGUUAUUAACUUGUGUUAUACUAAACUGUUGAUAUUUAUUUCCUGUUCUGGAAGAUUUCUUGGAGGGUCCGUCUGUGUAUUCCUUGUGCCUAGUGUAGUCAUGCUAAUGGAAUAGCACCUUUAUUGGUGCUACUUAGUGGUUGGUAGCUUACAAUCAAUCUGCUUAGAAUGUAUCCAAAUAAACUGGAUAUUUUUAUA
This is an RNA transcript of Symphalangus syndactylus (siamang), 19305 nucleotides long. RefSeq lists it as uncharacterized. NCBI's taxonomy places the organism in Eukaryota, Metazoa, Chordata, Mammalia, Primates, Hylobatidae. The record is from RefSeq and is a predicted model, not a curated record.